Unclassified non-coding RNA from Chelonoidis abingdonii (Abingdon island giant tortoise), 153 nucleotides. The record is from Ensembl. Lineage: Eukaryota; Metazoa; Chordata; Testudines; Testudinidae.
GUCACAGCCCAGGGGACUGAAAUCCUCUUUAUCCAGAGAAUGGGUACAGCAUGGGAAGCAGCAAUGCAAGCUCUCCUAUACUGCCCCACCAACAAGCUGACUUUGAAGGACAAGACGGUUCAGGACUCCAUAGCUAUUCAAUCCUUGAUCUCU